Molecule: ribosomal RNA, 490 nt
Filed under: uncultured bacterium
Lineage: Bacteria
Description: partial 16S ribosomal RNA
Rfam family: Bacterial small subunit ribosomal RNA
Source: RNAcentral
AUUGAACGCUGGCGGCAGGCCUAACACAUGCAAGUCGAACGGUAACAGGAAGAAGCUUGCUUCUUUGCUGACGAGUGGCGGACGGGUGAGUCAUGUCUGGGAAACUGCCUGAUGGAGGGGGAUAACUACUGGAAACGGUAGCUACUACCGCAUAACGUCGCAAGACCAAAGAGGGGGACCUUCGGGCCUCUUGCCAUCGGAUGUGCCCAGAUGGGAUUAGCUAGUAGGUGGGGUAACGGGUCACCUAGGCGACGAUCCCUAGCUGGUCUGAGAGGAUGACCGGCCACACUGGAGCUGAGACACGGUCCAGACUCCUACGGGAGGCAGCAGUGGGGAAUAUUACACAGUGGGCGCAAGCCUGAUGCAGCCAUGCCGCGUGUAUGAAGAAGGCCUUCGGGUUGUAAAGUACUUUCAGCGGGGAGGAAGGGAGUAAAGUUAAUACCUUUGCUCAUUGACGUUACCCGCAGAAGAAGCACCGGCUAACUCCGUG